CCAUCCCUUCAACCCCUCACACUAGAUAAGAGAAAAAAGGGUAGAAGGGAAAAGAAGGAGCUCCCUGAAUAAAGCCAUGGUACGGAGAGGGGGUGAUGUUUAUCAUUAAACUACUUCCUGCUGAUCAGGGGCGUGAGUUCCUUGGGUCAACUUUGAUCUUUGCUGGCAGGAUAGCUCAUUUCUUCUUUGCACACAACAACCAACAUCACCCCUGCCCCCCUUGCAGCCCUAGCUUAUAUAUAUACUCUCUGAAAAGUCUCCAGAAUUCCAAAUGUCCCACAGUCGGAGAGACUAUCUGCAGCUGGCAAAACCACCACAAAGAGCACAAGGCAAGUCCUAGGGCACAAACUGCAGACAGCUGCAGGGACAGUCUGAAGCAGCACCGUGUCCCAUACCUGAGAUUAAAAGGAAAAUAUAUUCUUAAAAUAUUUCUGUGAUAUUUUAAAGAAACAAAACUCCAAAAUUAUAACUAUAAAACUUCACAUUUUUUCUUAAAAAAAAAAAAAAA
RNAcentral lists this long non-coding RNA (508 nucleotides) under Rattus norvegicus (Norway rat). RNAcentral's name for it is "long non-coding RNA NONRATT005323". Lineage: Eukaryota; Metazoa; Chordata; Mammalia; Rodentia; Muridae. The record is from RNAcentral.